This is a long non-coding RNA of Pleuronectes platessa (European plaice), 2040 nucleotides long. RefSeq lists it as uncharacterized. The record is from RefSeq and is a predicted model, not a curated record. NCBI's taxonomy places the organism in Eukaryota, Metazoa, Chordata, Actinopteri, Pleuronectiformes, Pleuronectidae. The transcript is spliced from 2 exons.
AAGUGAGCUGACCACUGACAAAAUACCUCUUCUUGUCUGUGGCUGUUCUUGCACUGAGGUUCUAAACUUGAAUUUGUCAGUUUCAAUGCACCACUGUAGCCCCAAAGCUCGAUCCAUCGGAAGCUGGUCCACAUCCAAAUCCAGCUCCAUCACUUCCUUUGCUCUGCAGUCUUCAGCAAUUGACAGCAGCACUGUUCGGCUGUUGCUGAUCCAUUUGGAAAGAUUAAAUCCUCCUUUGUGACAAAGCGCAGUCACAUCCUUGACCACUUGCACUGCCACCUCCUCUGAGGCCACUGAUUUCAAGCAAUCAUCGACAUAAAAAUUACACUUUACUGUAUUGACCACUUCAUGGGGGAAAUGUUCGGCAUUGUCAUCUGCUGUUCUCCUCAAUGCAUAAUUUGCACAGCUUGGUGACGACACAGCUCCAAACAAAUGAACUUUCAUGCGAUGUUCCACUGGAGCCUGUGAAACGUCUCCCCCAGGCCACCAGAGAAAGCGGAGAAAGUUGAUGUGCUUUUCAGAAACAUGAACUUGGUGAUACAUUGCUUGGAUGUCGGCCAUUACUGCAACGGGCUCUUGUCUAAAUCGAACAAGGACUCCAACUAGAGAGUUGGUAAAGUCAGGGCCCUGUAAAAGCUGACAGUUCAGUGACGUCCCUUUGUAUGCUGCUCCACAGUCAAAAACAACUCGCAGCUUGCCUUUUCUGGGAUGAUAAACCCCGUGAUGAGGGAUAUACCAUACAUUUCCAUCACUCUGUUUAGGUUGAUCAGAAGGCACCACUUCAGCAUAUCCUUGAGCCACCAUGUUGUUUAAAAAUGUGAUGUACUCUCCUUUAAAUUGACCAUUCUUGGCAAACUUUCUUUUCAGGCUCUGGAGGCGCUGUUCUGCAACAUGACGAUUAUUUGGCAUGAGAGGGUUUUCCUGCCUGAAGGCAUUUCUUGAAGAUGUUCAACAGAGAUCCGGUUGGAUGUUACAGCAGAGCAGUCACUUUUAUUCUUGUUGCUCCCACCACGAAGUGGACCAUUAAUGACCCAACCGACCCUGGUUCUGACAGCAUAAGGUCCUUCAUCCUGGCUGUUUAUGAGCUCCCAAGGCUCCAUCACUUUUGGUGCAUCAGUUCCAAUGAGCAGAUCAACACCUUCCUCAAUGUCAUGAAGUUGAACAGCCUUGAGAUACGACCACUGAUCAACGUCCUCUUGUCGUGGAAUAUUGAGUGAUGAGACAGGCAUGUUCUUUUGUGUUAAAACAUCAGGUAACUCAAUAAAGUCAUUCAUAUUCAGACCAGACACUUCCAGACCUGACAACACAUGAGCAUUUACUAUCUUCUUUUGACCCAUUGUUCUUAACAGAAUACUUGUCCUUUUACCUCUCACAUUCAAUUUUCUUGCCAAGUUCUCCGUACAAAAUGUUCCUGAGCUCCCAGGAUCCAAGAAAGCAUACGUCUGCACAGUUUUGUUGCUCCUCUGACUCUUGACUUUGACUGCAACAAUAGAAAAAAUGGAGGCAUCUUCCUGACCGGCCCCAAUAUGGCCACAGGUCUGAAACACUGCAGGUGAAACAUUUGAAGAGCUCACAGACUGUUGAUCAGAGGGUGUGGCUUUAUCCUGACGCUCUAUAUGAAGGACACUUGGGUGCUUUUGGUGACACACGUUGCAAUCCAAACGACUCCUGCAGUAUUUGCUAGUGUGGCCUUUUUUCAGGCAACCAAAACAGAUUCCUUUUUCUUUAAUGAAAUUAAUCUUGUCCCUGUGUACUGUCAUCUUGAACUGUGAGCAUUGGUCCAUUGAAUGAUUAACUUGUGAACAGAACAGGCAGUUGAGAGUGGAGGACUUGAUCUUGUUUCCUGUAUGUUGAGUUAUGACUCCAUCCUUUACUGUAGUGACGUUAGUAGCAAAGCUGCUUCCCUUUUUCCUUUGUUUGAAGUGACUAACAGUGGAAGCUUUGGAGUUGGUGAGCUGUGGGUCUUGAAUGUUGCCAAAAACUGGAUCUGAAGCAAUUUUGACUUGUCUUUCAAUAAAACCAACAAGAUCAGCGAACAUU